RNAcentral lists this ribosomal RNA (460 nucleotides) under uncultured bacterium. RNAcentral describes it as "partial 16S ribosomal RNA". It matches the Rfam family "Bacterial small subunit ribosomal RNA", at positions 338 to 795 of the family's 1533-position model. The record is from RNAcentral.
CCUACGGGUGACUGCAGUGAGGAAUAUUGGUCAAUGGGCGCGAGCCUGAACCAGCCAAGUCGCGUGAGGGAAGACGGCCCUACGGGUUGUAAACCUCUUUUGCCGGGGAGCAACGGGCGCCACGUGUGGCGCCACUGAGAGUACCCGGAGAAAAAGCAUCGGCUAACUCCGUGCCAGCAGCCGCGGUAAUACGUAGGAUGCGAGCGUUAUCCGGAUGUAUUGGGUGUAAAGGGUGCGUAGGCGGAGCGUUAAGUCAGUGGUCAAAUUGAGGGGCUCAACCCCUUCCCGCCAUUGAAACUGGCGAUCUUGAGUGGAAGAGAAGUAUGCGGAAUGCGAGGUGUAGCGGUGAAAUGCAUAGAUAUCACGCAGAACCCCGAUGGCGAAGGCAGCAUGCCGGCUUCCUACUGACGCUGAAGCACGAAAGCGUGGGGAUCGAACAGGAUUAGAUACCCCAGUAGUC